RNAcentral lists this unclassified non-coding RNA (1671 nucleotides) under Hevea brasiliensis (rubber tree). The record is from RNAcentral. Lineage: Eukaryota; Viridiplantae; Streptophyta; Magnoliopsida; Malpighiales; Euphorbiaceae.
GGAAGCUUUGCAACUGCGGACUGCCAAUGUCCUUGAUCGUCUGGCGAGCCUUUAUCGUUCUGAAAAAUAUUUGAUCUCGAAGAAGGACUCACAGCGAUGGCGAGUGAAGAAGAGAGAGCUCUAGAGAAUCAGCUGGAGCUUCAGUUACAGGAGCAGAAAGAUUCACUUGCUGCCUUGGAUGAUGCUCUCGCCUCUGACCCCUCCAAUGCCGAGCUCCUCUCGGUUCAAGAGGAGCUUGUUCAGACAAUUAAAGAUGCAGAGGAUGGACUUCUGCACCUAAAGCGUGCACGUUUAUUGCGGGAAGUUGAUUCCGCACUCGAUGAUUCUAAGCAUUCUGCUGAUUAUGUUAAGGUAGAGCCUCUUGAUCCAAAUGAUGUUGAACCAGAGCCACUGGAGGAGCAAAGUUACUCUGUUGGAUCAAAAUGUAGAUUCCGUUACAAUGAUGGACGAUGGUAUAACGGUAAAAUUAUUGGGUUGGAAGGUUCUAAUACAGUGAAGAUCUCUUUCCUUACCCCUACCUCAGAAAAUAUGAUGAUCACCCAAGCGCAGAUAUGCAAGUUUUUCCUGCAACAACGAUGUCGAUUUGGUACUAAUUGCCGCUUAUCGCAUGGGUUUAAUGUGUCAUUAUCUUCUCUGAAGAAGUACAUCCCAACAAUGUGGGAUCAGUCAUUGGUGGGGUCCAGUAUUUGGGCAGCUUCGGAUAAUAAUGCUGGCAUUUGGAGGAAAGCUGAACUUGAAUCAUGGGAUGAUGAACUCAGAGUAGGGAAGGUUGUUUUUCGUGAUGAUGGAAGCUCUGCAAAGCUUGGGAGUGAUGCAAUGACUUUGUCUGCGUGUGCUUUAAUGAGUGAUGAAGAGGAAGGUGAUUCAAGCUCAGAACAAUCUGAUUCUAGUGAUUAUGAAGAAGAGGGCACACAAGGUUUAGGAUUUCUCGAGAGCAGCACUCUACAAAGAGGCAUACAAACAGAAACUGCCAUAUUUGCCAAGUGGGAAAAUCACACCCGGGGCAUAGCUUCGAAGAUGAUGGCAAACAUGGGCUACCGUGAUGGAAUGGGUUUAGGUGCAUCUGGGCAGGGAAUGUUGGAUCCCAUUUCUGUGAAGGUCCUCCCAGCAAAGCAAUCGCUUGAUCAUGCUAUACAAUCUCAAAAGGAAGAAGAGAUCAAAGAGGAUCAGGGGAGGAAGCGGAGCAGAGGUGGAAAGAGAAAACGCGAGAAGAAGUUUGCUGCUUUGGCUAGGGUAGCAGAAGAAGAAGAGGAAAUGGGACCAGAUGUUUUCAGUCUUAUCAAUAAUCAACUGGCUAUGCAUAGUGAGGCUUUGAAUGGAGGGUCUGCUAAGAAGCAUCAAAAUAAAGGCUCUGGAGAGAAGAAAGUGGACAGACGAGUUCUGGUUGCAUACGAUGAUGAGGUGAAGGAGUUGAGAAUGCGAGUGGAAAAGCUUGAAGAGAUGGCAAGUAGAAACAAAAAGGAGAAGGUGGUUUAUGAGGCUGCCAUGAGGAAGUUGAAUGAGACUCGCAAAGCUCUGGUAGAAGCUGAGGCUGCUCAUGCUUCUGCGUCAAAUGCAGUUGCAACUAAAGAAAAAGAGAAGAAAUGGCUCAAGUUUUGAGGUGAUAAUAUCAAUGUUGUUGUGUAAUGCAAAGUUAUCCAAGUGUAUGGAUAGUCCAAAAAUUAUUGCGUG